This 301-nucleotide ribosomal RNA is filed under the name uncultured bacterium. RNAcentral describes it as "partial 16S ribosomal RNA". It matches the Rfam family "Bacterial small subunit ribosomal RNA", at positions 509 to 807 of the family's 1533-position model. The record is from RNAcentral.
CAGUAGCCGCGGUAAUACGUAGGGUGCAAGCGUUAAUCGGAAUUACUGGGCGUAAAGCGUGCGCAGGCGGUUCCGCAAGUCAGAUGUGAAAUCCCCGGGCUCAACCUGGGAACUACAUUUGAAACUACGGGGCUAGAGUGUGUCAGAGGGGGGUGGAAUUCCACGUGUAGCAGUGGAAUGCGUAGAGAUGUGGAGGAACACCAAUGGCGAAGGCAGCCCCCUGGGAUGACACUGACGCCCAUGCACGAAAGCGUGGGGAGCAAACAGGAUUAGAUACCCGAGUAGUCCCUGUCUCUUAUAC